CCUACGGGGGGCUGCAGUGGGGAAUAUUGCACAAUGGAGGGAACUCUGAUGCAGCGACGCCGCGUGAGUGAAGAAGUAAUUCGUUAUGUAAAGCUCUAUCAGCAGGGAAGAAAGUGACGGUACCUGAAAAAGAAGCUCCGGCUAAAUACGUGCCAGCAGCCGCGGUAAAACGUAGGGGGCAAGCGUUAUCCGGAUUCACUGGGUGUAAAGGGAGCGUAGACGGCGAGACAAGUCUGGAGUGAAAGGCCGGGGCCCAACCCCGGGACUGCUCUGGAAACUGCCUGGCUGGAGUACAGGAGAGGUAAGUGGAAUUCCUGGUGUAGCGGUGAAAUGCGUAGAUAUUAGGAGGAACACCAGUGGCGAAGGCGGCUUACUGGACUGUAACUGACGUUGAGGCUCGAAAGCGUGGGGAGCAAACAGGAUUAGAUACCCGGGUAGUC
RNAcentral lists this ribosomal RNA (440 nucleotides) under uncultured bacterium. RNAcentral describes it as "partial 16S ribosomal RNA". It matches the Rfam family "Bacterial small subunit ribosomal RNA", at positions 338 to 795 of the family's 1533-position model. The record is from RNAcentral.